Molecule: long non-coding RNA, 345 nt
Organism: Manduca sexta (tobacco hornworm)
Lineage: Eukaryota; Metazoa; Arthropoda; Insecta; Lepidoptera; Sphingidae
Exons: 2
Source: RefSeq, a predicted model, not a curated record
UAACACUGAAAUAUGAAUCGAAAGAGAAUGAUUUAUUUCUAAUACAGCUCAGCUGGUUACAGCUCUAUUUUAUCCAAGUUUCAAACUUCUACUUAUAGGAUGCUAAAGAUGAAGACGAAAUUAAGCGUCAACCCCUGCUUAACGGCGAAGAUAAAGUUGCCGAGGCAGGGAGUCAAAAGGAAGCAACGCCUUCUAAGCAAGAAGAAAUAAAGGGAAACAACACAAAGACAGAUAUAAUCAACUCUGCCCAGGAUGCCCUUCAGAGUAAUAAAUUUGUAUUAACCCCCGACUAUAUACAACAAACUAUCAAAAGCGCACUGAAACAGGAAAACCUAAACCCAGAAA